AACAGGGAUUGCCCUAGUAACGGCGAGUGAAGCGGCAACAGCUCAAAUUUGAAAUCUGGCCCUUGGGUCCGAAUUGUAAUUUGUAGAGGAUGUUUUUGGUGCGGUAUCUUCCGAGUUCCUUGGAACAGGACGCCUUAGAGGGUGAGAGCCCCGUACGGUUGAAUGCCUAGCCUUUGUAAAACUCCUUCGACGAGUCGAGUAGUUUGGGAAUGCUGCUCUAAAUGGGAGGUAAAUUUCUUCUAAAGCUAAAUACCGGCCAGAGACCGAUAGCGCACAAGUAGAGUGAUCGAAAGAUGAAAAGCACUUUGAAAAGAGGGUUAAAUAGCACGUGAAAUUGUUGAAAGGGAAGGAUUUAUGACCAGACUUUUUCUAGGCGAAUCAUCCGGUGUUCUCACCGGUGCACUUCGUUUAGUUUAGGCCAGCAUCGAUUUUCGAGGCGGGAUAAAAGCUUCAGGAAUGUGGCUCCCUCGGGAGUGUUAUAACCUGUUGUAUAAUACCGCCUUGGGGAUCGAGGUACGCGCUUCUGCAAGGAUGCUGGCGUAAUGGUUAUCAAUCACCCGUCUUGAAACACGGACCAAGGAGUCGAACAUUUGUGCGAGUGUUUGGGUGUUAAACCCUCACGCGUAAUGAAAGUGAACGGAGGUGAGAGCCCUUUACGGGGUGCAUCAUCGACCGAUCCUGAUGUCUUCGGAUGGAUUUGAGUAAGAGCAUAAAUGUUCGGACCCGAAAGAUGGUGAACUAUGCGUGGAUAGGGUGAAGCCAGAGGAAACUCUGGUGGAGGCUCGCAGCGGUUCUGACGUGCAAAUCGAUCGUCAAAUCUGCGCAUGGGGGCGAAAGACUAAUCGA
Molecule: ribosomal RNA, 846 nt
Filed under: Seimatosporium sp.
Lineage: Eukaryota; Fungi; Ascomycota; Sordariomycetes; Amphisphaeriales; Sporocadaceae
Description: partial large subunit ribosomal RNA
Rfam family: Eukaryotic large subunit ribosomal RNA
Source: RNAcentral